RNAcentral lists this ribosomal RNA (393 nucleotides) under uncultured bacterium. Its description in RNAcentral is "partial 16S ribosomal RNA". It matches the Rfam family "Bacterial small subunit ribosomal RNA", at positions 523 to 918 of the family's 1533-position model. The record is from RNAcentral.
AUACGGAGGAUCCGAGCGUUAUCCGGAUUUAUUGGGUUUAAAGGGUGCGCAGGCGGGAGAUUAAGUCGGCGGUGAAAUUUUGCAGCUCAACUGUAAAAGUGCCUUCGAAACUGGUUUCCUUGAGUGUAGAUGAAGUAGGGGGAAUUUGUGGUGUAGCGGUGAAAUGCAUAGAUAUCACGAGGAACUCCGAUUGCGCAGGCAGCUUACUAAACUACUACUGACGCUCAGGCACGAAGGCGUGGGGAUCAAACAGGAUUAGAUACCCUGGUAGUCCACGCAGUAAACGAUGAUUACUAGCUGUUUGCGAUACAAUGUAAGCGGCUGAGCGAAAGCGUUAAGUAAUCCACCUGGGGAGUACGUUCGCAAGAAUGAAACUCAAAUGAAUUGACGGGG